This 86-nucleotide non-coding RNA is filed under the name Peptoclostridium acidaminophilum. RNAcentral describes it as "c-di-GMP sequence". It matches the Rfam family "c-di-GMP-I riboswitch aptamer". From Rfam's summary of the family: GEMM was predicted in a large-scale screen for bacterial structured RNA regulatory elements. Lineage: Bacteria; Bacillati; Bacillota; Clostridia; Peptostreptococcales; Peptoclostridiaceae. RNAcentral also lists the same sequence under 1 other name. The record is from RNAcentral.
AUGUGACAAUGGCAAACCUGCUUAAAGGCAGGGACGCAAAGCUAUGGGUCUAAAGGGAUAAUCCCCAUGACUGCCAGGCUGCCGGA